This 301-nucleotide ribosomal RNA is filed under the name uncultured bacterium. RNAcentral describes it as "partial 16S ribosomal RNA". It matches the Rfam family "Bacterial small subunit ribosomal RNA", at positions 509 to 809 of the family's 1533-position model. The record is from RNAcentral.
CAGCAGCCACGGGAAUACGGAGGGGGCUAGCGUUGUUCGGAAUUACUGGGCGUAAAGCGCACGUAGGCGGCUUUGUAAGUUAGAGGUGAAAGCCCGGAGCUCAACUCCGGAAUUGCCUUUAAGACUGCAGAGCUAGCAGGUGAGAGAGGUGAGUGGAAUUCCGAGUGUAGAGGUGAAAUUCGUAGAUAUUCGGAAGAACACCAGUGGCGAAGGCGGCUCACUGGCUCAUACUGGACGCUGAGGUGCGAAAGCGUGGGGAGCAAACAGGAUUAGAUACCCCGGUAGUCCCUGUCUCUUAUAA